AAGGAUCAUUACAGAGAACUUCGCCCUCGCGGGUGACUCUCCAACCCUAUGUUAUCAUACCUUUGUUGCUUUGGCGCGCCGCUUCGGCCACCGGCUUUUGCUGGUGAGUGCUCGCCAAAGGACCCUAAACUCUUGGAUUUAUUAUUGUCUGAGUACUAUAUAAUAGUUAAAACUUUCAACAACGGAUCUCUUGGUUCUG
This 199-nucleotide unclassified non-coding RNA is filed under the name uncultured fungus. RNAcentral's name for it is "partial contains 18S rRNA, ITS1, 5.8S rRNA, ITS2 and 28S rRNA". Lineage: Eukaryota; Fungi. The record is from RNAcentral.